RNAcentral lists this ribosomal RNA (500 nucleotides) under uncultured methanogenic archaeon. RNAcentral's name for it is "bacterial SSU rRNA". It matches the Rfam family "Archaeal small subunit ribosomal RNA", at positions 5 to 510 of the family's 1478-position model. The record is from RNAcentral. Lineage: Archaea; Methanobacteriati; Methanobacteriota.
CGUUUGAUCCCGGCGGAGGUUACUGCUAUCGAGGUUCGACUAAGCCAUGCGAGUCGAAUGUAGCNAUACAUGGCGAACUGCUCAGUAACACGUGGACAACCUGCCCUUAGGACGGGGAUAAACCCGGGAAACUGGGUAUAAUACCCGAUAGGUCUCGAUUGCUGGAAUGCAUCGAGAUUUAAAGCUCCGGCGCCUAAGGAUGGGUCUGCGGCCUAUCAGGUAGUAGUGGGUGUAGCGUACCUACUAGCCUACGACGGGUACGGGUUGUGAGAGCAAGAGCCCGGAGAUGGAUUCUGAGACACGAAUCCAGGCCCUACGGGGUGCAGCAGGCGCGAAAACUUUACAAUGCUGGCAACAGCGAUAAGGGAACCUCGAGUGCCAGGUUACAAAUCUGGCUGUCGAGAUGCCUAAAAAGCAUUUCAUAGCAAGGGCCGGGCAAGACCGGUGCCAGCCGCCGCGGUAACACCGGCGGCUCGAGUGGUAACCGUUAUUAUUGGGUC